GUCUACGGCCAUACCACCCUGAACGCGCCCGAUCUCCUCUGAUCUCGGAAGCUAAGCAGGGUCGGGCCUGCUUAGUACUUGGAUGGGAAACUAAAUAGAACAAAGCUCACCCUUCAGAGAAAGUUCCCGCCGGCGAGC
This 138-nucleotide ribosomal RNA is filed under the name Chinchilla lanigera (long-tailed chinchilla). Lineage: Eukaryota; Metazoa; Chordata; Mammalia; Rodentia; Chinchillidae. The record is from RNAcentral.